AAUUCCUGACUUAAUAUGAUGCUGCACCUGUGAAUCCAUAAUCAUCUCCCUUCAAACAUAUAAGUAGGACAAUAUAUAAAAAAAAUGGAGAAAAUCUCAGCAUUUCUUGCCAUCCUCCUCCUGGUCUCGUCAUGCAUGGUGAAAGAGACUGUGACGCAGAAUAUUGUAGAAUGUAAAACAGAUGAAGAUUGUGUGAAGCAGAAGUAUAGCUGUCCGAUCUCAGGGGAUCCGCCAGUUUGCCUCGACUAUUUCUGUAGCUGUUUCCAUCAUGAAAUGCAUACUCCUGCAUCGACAAACUCCAACUCUUGAUGAUAUUCAUGUUGAUUUGAAUAAUGAAAAGGCUAUAUAUAUAACUCUUUCAUCGUUAUCUUCUCUCCAUGCAUCUUCCUUCUGAAAUGUAUCUCUAUAAUAAGUUAACUAGAUUUUGAUCCGCGCUUAGAAAGCGCGGAUUUAUUUUUUAAAUUUAAUAAUUUUUAAUAUAAA
Brassica rapa (field mustard) is the source of this 483-nucleotide long non-coding RNA. RefSeq lists it as uncharacterized. The record is from RefSeq and is a predicted model, not a curated record. Lineage: Eukaryota; Viridiplantae; Streptophyta; Magnoliopsida; Brassicales; Brassicaceae.